RNAcentral lists this long non-coding RNA (187 nucleotides) under Prolemur simus (greater bamboo lemur). RNAcentral's name for it is "HOXA11 antisense RNA 1 conserved region 6 (ENSPSMG00000014760.1)". It matches the Rfam family "HOXA11 antisense RNA 1 conserved region 6". The record is from RNAcentral. Lineage: Eukaryota; Metazoa; Chordata; Mammalia; Primates; Lemuridae.
UUCCUUUUAUCGUCAACCCGGAGCCCCACGGCGGCUAAUACAAGAGGCCAAAAAUGUUUGGAGGAAGAAAAACAAAGGCAGGAAGUGGCGGCGGCCUGACGGUGCGUGUGUGUCUGUGGAGAAGGGAGAGAAGGGAGGGAGCCGGUUCAAUCUCUUCUUGUUUUUCCUAACUUCAAGGUCCAGGCAG